Molecule: ribosomal RNA, 865 nt
Filed under: uncultured archaeon
Lineage: Archaea
Description: bacterial SSU rRNA
Rfam family: Archaeal small subunit ribosomal RNA
Source: RNAcentral
CCUGCCGGACCUGACUGCUAUCGGAUUGAUACUAAGCCAUGCGAGUCAUUGUAGCAAUACAAGGCAGACGGCUCAGUAACGCGUAGUCAACCUACCCUAUGGACGGGAAUAACCUCGGGAAACUGAGAAUAAUGCCCGAUAGAACACUAUGCCUGGAAUGGUUUGUGUUCCAAAUGAUUUAUCGCCGUAGGAUGGGACUGCGUCCUAUCAGUUUGUUGGUGAGGUAAUGGCCCACCAAGACUAUUACAGGUACGGGCUCUGAGAGGAGUGGCCCGGAGAUGGGUACUGAGACACGGACCCAGGCCCUAUGGGGCGCAGCAGGCGAGAAAACUUUGCAAUGUGCGAAAGCACGACAAGGUUAAUCCGAGUGGUUUCUGCUAAAGGAACCUUUUGUUAGUCCUAGAAACACUGACGAAUAAGGGGUGGGCAAGUUCUGGUGUCAGCCGCCGCGGUAAAACCAGCACCUCAAGUGGUCAGGAUGAUUAUUGGGCCUAAAGCAUCCGUAGCCUGCUUUGUUAGUUUUCGGUUAAAUCUGUACGCUCAACGUACAGGCUGCCGGGAAUACUGCAAAGCUAGGGAGUGGGAGAGGUAGACGGUACUCGGUAGGAAGGGGUAAAAUCCUUUGAUCUAUUGAUGACCACCUGUGGCGAAGGCGGUCUACCAGAACACGUCCGACGGUGAGGGAUGAAAGCUGGGGGAGCAAACCGGAUUAGAUACCCGGGUAGUCCCAGCUGUAAACCAUGCAAACUCAGUGAUGCAUUGGCUUGUGGCCAAUGCAGUGCUGCAGGGAAGCCGUUAAGUUUGCCGCCUGGGAAGUACGUACGCAAGUAUGAAACUUAAAGGAAUUGGCGGGGGAGCACCACAA